Molecule: ribosomal RNA, 478 nt
Filed under: uncultured bacterium
Lineage: Bacteria
Description: partial 16S ribosomal RNA
Rfam family: Bacterial small subunit ribosomal RNA
Source: RNAcentral
GACGAACGCUGGCGGCGUGCUUAACUCAUGCAAGUCGAACGGUAAGGCCCUUCGGGGUACACGAGUGGCGAACGGGUGAGUAACACGUGGGUGAUCUGCCCUGCACUUCGGGAUAAGCCUGGGAAACUGGGUCUAAUACCGGAUAGGACCACUGCCUGCAUGGGUGGUGGUGGAAAGCUUUUGCGGUGUGGGAUGGGCCCGCGGCCUAUCAGCUUGUUGGGGGGGUGAUGGCCUACCAAGGCGACGACGGGUAGCCGGCCUGAGAGGGUGACCGGCCACACUGGGACUGAGAUACGGCCCAGACUCCUACGGGAGGCAGCAGUGGGGAAUAUUGCACAAUGGGCGCAAGCCUGAUGCAGCGACGCCGCGUGAGGGAUGACGGCCUUCGGGUUGUAAACCUCUUUCAGCACCGACGAAGCGCAAGUGACGGUAGGUGCAGAAGAAGGACCGGCCAACUACGUGCCAGCCGCCGCUGUAA